RNAcentral lists this ribosomal RNA (468 nucleotides) under uncultured bacterium. RNAcentral's name for it is "partial 16S ribosomal RNA". It matches the Rfam family "Bacterial small subunit ribosomal RNA", at positions 28 to 507 of the family's 1533-position model. The record is from RNAcentral.
GACGAACGCUGGCGGCGUGCUUAACACAUGCGAGUCGAACGGAAAGGCCCUGCUUUUGUGGGGUGCUCGAGUGGCGAACGGGUGAGUAACACGUGAGUAACCUGCCCUUGACUUUAGGAUAACUUCAGGAAACUGGGGCUAAUACCGGAUAGGAGCUCCUGCUGCAUGGUGGGGGUUGGAAAGUUUCGGCGGUUGGGGAUGGACUCGCGGCUUAUCAGCUUGUUGGUGGGGUAGUGGCUUACCAAGGCUUUGACGGGUAGCCGGCCUGAGAGGGUGACCGGCCACAUUGGGACUGAGAUACGGCCCAGACUCCUACGGGAGGCAGCAGUGGGGAAUAUUGCACAAUGGGCGGAAGCCUGAUGCAGCAACGCCGCGUGCGGGAUGACGGCCUUCGGGUUGUAAACCGCUUUCGCCUGUGACGAAGCGUGAGUGACGGUAAUGGGUAAAGAAGCACCGGCUAACUACGUG